AACGAACGCUGGCGGCGUGGCUUAGGCAUGCAAGUCGAACGCGAAAGGGCCGCAAGGCCCAAGUAGAGUGGCGUAAGGGUGAGUAAUGCUCGGGCAAGUUACCCCUAGGACCGGGAUAGCCUCUGGAAACGGAGGGUAAGACCGGAUGGGCUCACGUCGGCUGCGGCCGACGGGAGUAAAGGUGGGGAUCGAAAGACCUACUGCCCAGGGAGACGCUCGAGUCCUACCAGCUAGUUGGUGAGGUAACGGCUCACUAAGGCGAAGACGGGUAGCCGGACUGAGAGGUUGACCGGCCACACUGGCACUGAGACACUGGCCAGACUCCUACGGGAGGCUGCAGUCGAGAAUCUUCCGCAAUGGACGCAAGUCUGACGGAGCGACGCCGCGUGGAGGAAGAAGGCCUUCGGGUUGUAAACUCCUGUCAGGGUUUAAGAAUGCGGCGGUGAACAAUCCGUCCCGUGACGAAGGACCCAAAGGAAGCCACAGCUAACUUCGUGCCAGCAGCUGCGGUAAUACGAAGGUGGCGAGCGUUGUUCGGAUUCACUGGGCAUAAAGGGCGCGUAGGCGGUUCCGCAAGCAGUACGUGAAAUCCCACGGCUCAACCGUGGAAUUGCGUGCUGGACUGCGGUUCUCGAGGGCGGGAGGGGGCUGCGGAACUCUAGGUGUAGCGGUGAAAAUGCGUAGAU
Molecule: ribosomal RNA, 686 nt
Filed under: uncultured bacterium
Lineage: Bacteria
Description: bacterial SSU rRNA
Rfam family: Bacterial small subunit ribosomal RNA
Source: RNAcentral